GAAUCUGCCUGGUAGUGGGGGAUAACGUCCGGAAACGGGCGCUAAUACCGCAUACGUCCUGAGGGAGAAAGUGGGGGAUCUUCGGACCUCACGCUAUCAGAUGAGCCUAGGUCGGAUUAGCUAGUUGGUGGGGUAAAGGCCUACCAAGGCGACGAUCCGUAACUGGUCUGAGAGGAUGAUCAGUCACACUGGAACUGAGACACGGUCCAGACUCCUACGGGAGGCAGCAGUGGGGAAUAUUGGACAAUGGGCGAAAGCCUGAUCCAGCCAUGCCGCGUGUGUGAAGAAGGUCUUCGGAUUGUAAAGCACUUUAAGUUGGGAGGAAGGGCAGUAAGUUAAUACCUUGCUGUUUUGACGUUACCAACAGAAUAAGCACCGGCUAACUUCGUGCCAGCAGCCGCGGUAAUACGAAGGGUGCAAGCGUUAAUCGGAAUUACUGGGCGUAAAGCGCGCGUAGGUGGUUCAGCAAGUUGGAUGUGAAAUCCCCGGGCUCAACCUGGGAACUGCAUCCAAAACUACUGAGCUAGAGUACGGUAGAGGGUGGUGGAAUUUCCUGUGUAGCGGUGAAAUGCGUAGAUAUAGGAAGGAACACCAGUGGCGAAGGCGACCACCUGGACUGAUACUGACACUGACGUGCGAAAGCGUGGGGAGCAAACAGGAUUAGAUACCCUGGUAGUCCACGCCGUAAACGAUGUCNACUAGCCGUUGGGAUCCUUGAGAUCUUAGUGGCGCACCUAACGCGAUAAGUCGACCGCCUGGGGAGUACGGCCGCAAGGUUAAAACUCAAAUGAAUUGACGGGGGCCCGCACAAACGGUGGAAGCAUGUGGUUUAAUUCCAAGCAACGCGAAAAAACCUUACCUGGCCCUUGACAUGCUGAGAACUUUCCCA
RNAcentral lists this ribosomal RNA (889 nucleotides) under Pseudomonas aeruginosa. RNAcentral's name for it is "bacterial SSU rRNA". It matches the Rfam family "Bacterial small subunit ribosomal RNA", at positions 122 to 1003 of the family's 1533-position model. Lineage: Bacteria; Pseudomonadati; Pseudomonadota; Gammaproteobacteria; Pseudomonadales; Pseudomonadaceae. The record is from RNAcentral.